This 755-nucleotide long non-coding RNA is filed under the name Rattus norvegicus (Norway rat). RNAcentral's name for it is "long non-coding RNA NONRATT023625". The record is from RNAcentral. Lineage: Eukaryota; Metazoa; Chordata; Mammalia; Rodentia; Muridae.
AUCCCAGUUACUCCAGGGCUGUGUGGCAAAUAGUGAUUGGAUAAUAGCUGGGAAGAACUUUGGAGAAAGCAUGUGAGAAAGCAGGUAGAAGGUCUUGCCACCCCCUCGAAAGGAGGUCGCUCCCUAGCCUUCUUGUACCAGAACUCCCUUCCCAGGAGCCAGUCCACCCGAGGCUACUUUCAGCCAACUCUCUUCAGUUUACCUUUCCUGGCUCAUCUUAUCUCUGAGGAUCAGGGGUCAUGGGGUGAGUUCUGGCUAGAGAUCAGCAAAUGUCUGUGGCUACAUCGGAAGAUAGAUAGAAUACCCUGGGUCUGAAAGGAAGGGUCUGGAAGUAGAGAAGAACAUUCUAGAGAAAGUUACUGAGGUACGAAGGAGCAUGGGUCCUAGGUGGAGGUAGAGGUCCAGGUUUGUAGUCUCGGGUAAGGGACUGGGAUGGUGGGAGGGUGGCAUCUGGGGUUGCAUAAGUGCUGGGUCAAGGUCAUUCUAGGUGCAGCAACAUCUCCAGCUCUUUCCUUUCACAAGUUGGAAGUUUAGCCAGGUGGGCCCUUCAUGGUGCUAAUCUCUAUCAAUCCCAGCCUCACAUUCAGCACAUGCCUUAGCUGUAAUUAAAUUGCCUAGUGCUCUUUUUCUCUCCAAAUGGUACAUUUUGUGUUUGUUUCUUUCUCAUUUGCUGUUUUUCAUUGCAGCCCCACAUAAGAGUUAUUGGUACUAACCAUGCCACAGCCACAAUGUUAUACUGCUUUAAAAUACUCCUU